Molecule: ribosomal RNA, 420 nt
Filed under: uncultured bacterium
Lineage: Bacteria
Description: bacterial SSU rRNA
Rfam family: Bacterial small subunit ribosomal RNA
Source: RNAcentral
UAAGGAAUAUUGGUCAAUGGACGCAAGUCUGAACCAGCCAUGCCGCGUGAAGGAUGAAGGUCCUCUGGAUUGUAAACUUCUUUUAUCUGGGACGAAAACGGGAUUUUUAUCUCAAUUGAUGGUACCAGAGGAAUAAGCACCGGCUAACUCCGUGCCAGCAGCCGCGGUAAUACGGAGGGUGCGAGCGUUAUCCGGAUUUACUGGGUUUAAAGGGUGCGUAGGUGGGCUUAUAAGUCAGUGGUGAAAUCUCCGAGCUUAACUUGGAAACUGCCGUUGAUACUAUGGUCUUGAAUUAUCUGGAUGUAAGCGGAAUAUGUCAUGUAGCGGUGAAAUGCUUAGAUAUGACAUAGAACACCAAUUGCGAAGGCAGCUUACUACAUAUAAAUUGACGCUGAGGCACGAAAGCGUGGGGAUCAAACA